AUGGCAGCUCCGAGAGCACUUGUCCUCGCCGUCCUGCUGGCGAUCGCCGUCGCCAACGCGGAGGCAGCGUCAGUCGUCGUCGGCCUGGCCAAGUGCGCCGACUGCACCAGGAAGAACAUCAAGGCUGAGGAAGCCUUCAAGGGUCUCCAGGUGGCGAUCAAAUGCAAGAACAUCGACGGCGAGUACGAGAGCAAGGCGGUGGGUGCCCUCGACGGCACCGGCGCCUUCAGCGUGCCCCUCGCCGCCGAUCUCCAUGGCGCCGACUGCGUCGCACAGCUCCACAGCGCCGCCUCCAACGCACCGUGCUCCGGCCAGAAGCCAUCCAAGAUCGUGCCGGUGUCCGAGGGCACCACCUUUGGUGUCGUGGCCGGCGCCAAGACGGACACGGUGGCAUCGCCAGAGUGCGCGUCCGCGACCCUAUGCGGACCAAUCAAGAAGCACAUCAUCGAGCACUUCCACCACAAGAAGCUCGUGCCACCCAAGCCGGAGCCCAAGCCCCAGCCCCACCCUGACUACGGCCCCGUGCCCAAGCCGGAGCCCAAGCCGCAGCCCCACCCAGACUACCACCCCGUCCCUCCCACGCCUACCUACGGCGGCGGCGGGGGAUACCACGGACACCACUGA
RNAcentral lists this ribosomal RNA (624 nucleotides) under Triticum aestivum (bread wheat). Its description in RNAcentral is "partial small subunit ribosomal RNA". The record is from RNAcentral. Lineage: Eukaryota; Viridiplantae; Streptophyta; Magnoliopsida; Poales; Poaceae.